GCGUAAUUUUUUUUCAUUUUCUUAUUUCGUCCACUUUGACUGGUAUUUCGCUAGACCAAAAUUUUUACGCCAAUUACAACAGUAACAGUAAACAAAACGACGACGGGACUCUCGUAAUAAUUACCGUCCGCUCUUUUGCCCGGCGGUUUUCAUGUCGAGUUUGACCGGCCGCGGACAUUAACGUCGCCUCCGCCGCUGUGACAAGUCGAACGCGCCCCAACGGUACUCGAAUCCGGGGAACAGGAACCACCGGACCACAGCGGCGGCAUUGGACAGGGGACACCACCGGGGAGGAAACGGGACUGAUCGUACGAAAAACGAAAACCGCAGAAAACGCCACUCAGGACCAUCAGGAACCAUGGAAAAGGGUGACAAGAAAAACAACGAUUGUUACUUUUACUACUAUUCGACUUGCAUGAAGGGAGACAAAUGCCCAUUUCGCCAUGAACCACAAGCAUUAGGAUGUGAAAUGGUAUGUAGUUUUUGGCAAAACGGGAAGUGUGAAAAUGAUCAUUGUACAUUACGCCACAUGGAAUUGAAGAAAAACCGAAAAGCAAUACCAUGUUAUUGGGAAAAACAACCAACUGGAUGUCGUAAGCCAUAUUGUGCGUUUUUACAUACCAAAACCCGAGAUCCAUCUCAAGAUGCAGGGGCUAUUGCAAUCGCAGCUAACACCAUGGCUAUUGAAAAUAGUUUUCGCAUAAACCCAAUGGCUGGUGUCGCACUUACUGCUGGUCCUGAAGCUGCAUUGCGACAACGUUAUGACCAGCCAUUACGAAUGAAUUGACAACCAAUGAACGCAAGUACGGCAUCUACUGUUUAUGGCAGUUCUGUCGUCACACUGCCAUACGUAUUCAACAAUAAUCAAUCCACUGCUGCCAUGUUUCUUGAUCAUUGCAACUUUAAUGCGUUUAUAUAAAGUUCAAUAAUGGUACAAGGCAGAACUGUUUCACUCAAAAAAUGCAAUAUUCAACAACUUAAGGCCGAAGCUUGUUUAUUUAUUUAUCUUUGUUUUUCUAUCUGAACAUUUUAUUUUUAUUUUAAACUAUUGUUAUUAUUUAUUUUAUUUUUAAGUAAUUUUUAAUGAACAUCAUGUUUUUUCUGCACUGUAGUUCAUAAUAUAAAAAACGUGUUGCAUAAUUCUACGUUUAUUCAGCUCAAUUUCUAUUAAUCUGGUUACAUUCUAAAUGCU
RNAcentral lists this unclassified non-coding RNA (1192 nucleotides) under Rhopalosiphum maidis (corn leaf aphid). RNAcentral describes it as "zinc finger CCCH domain-containing protein 11A-like, transcript variant X1". Lineage: Eukaryota; Metazoa; Arthropoda; Insecta; Hemiptera; Aphididae. The record is from RNAcentral.